UUGCUUGCCGUUUCUAUUCCUGCAAGCAUCCUCUUCUGUCUAACCUUCCAAGAAAGAGAACAAAAGUUCUUCUAACUUCUGCCCAUCUAAAACCAUUACACAAGUCCAGAACGAAUUAUUCUUACAUGGGUGUAAAAUGCCAAAAAGAACCUGUACAGGCACAAUCAUUUACAUUUUACACUAUACAGCGUUCUUGUCAGGCAAAUUCUUCAACACUUUAUAUCAACCUCAGUUGUACAUUCCCUUACAUAAGCCUGAAAAUAUGCCUUGCCAGUAAAUCAAGAUUUAACUAUAUUCAGUUAUAGAAGUAUUACUCCCUCCGUUCGGAAUUACUUGUCUUGGAAAUGGAUGUAUCUAGAACUAAAAUACAUCUAGAUACAUCCAUUUCUACGACAAGUAAUUCCGAACGGAGGGAGUACUAGUUUGGUGAAAUGUCCCUUUGGUGCCUGUCAUCUCAACACUACCAAGUCCAAAUCUUCAGGCGGUAGGUAUCUGUGAUGGUAGUACAACGCUGAUGACAAGCAGCAGAAUGAAGAAAGAUGUGUGACUACAACUCAAGCAAAUUAAUACCAGAGUCUGAUCCUUCAAAUCUUCAAGCUGUCAGCUGAUAGUUAACGGAGAGAAGCUCCUGACUCUCGACAGUUCCCACUAACGAUACUGCAGGAUGAAUGCAUUAUGAGCUACGUUUCAGGAAAAUUGUCAGCACAGGCAACUUGGCAAAGACUGAAUUGUCUGAGGCGAUUGACAAUCGCUAAUUCAAUCUUACUUAAGUAAAAAAUAAUAAUUGGAGUGCAUGAGUAAUUGAUUCUAUACAUGACUAAUUCAUCUAGCCAAAUAUCCGAAAAUACAAUGGUGAACAUGGGUCCAC
This 868-nucleotide long non-coding RNA is filed under the name Triticum aestivum (bread wheat). RNAcentral describes it as "long non-coding RNA (TAES_LNC016468)". The stretch from base 308 to 422 matches the Rfam family "MIR1120/MIR1122 microRNA precursor family". Lineage: Eukaryota; Viridiplantae; Streptophyta; Magnoliopsida; Poales; Poaceae. The record is from RNAcentral.